UGGUGGAGUGAUUUGUCUGGUUAAUUCCGUUAACGAACGAGACCUCAGCCUGCUAAAUAGUCACGUUAAUUCUGAAUUGGCGGCUGACUUCUUAGAGGGACUAUUGGUGUUUAACCAAUGGAAGUUUGAGGCAAUAACA
Molecule: ribosomal RNA, 139 nt
Filed under: uncultured eukaryote
Lineage: Eukaryota
Description: partial 18S ribosomal RNA
Rfam family: Eukaryotic small subunit ribosomal RNA
Source: RNAcentral